UGGGACCUUAGCUCAGCGGGAGAGCAAUAGACUGAAGAUCUAUGUGUCCUGGGUUCGAUUCCCAGAGGUCCCAUC
Molecule: transfer RNA, 75 nt
Filed under: subsurface metagenome
Description: tRNA-Phe
Rfam family: tRNA
About the family: Transfer RNA (tRNA) molecules are approximately 80 nucleotides in length. Their secondary structure includes four short double-helical elements and three loops (D, anti-codon, and T loops).
Source: RNAcentral